This 468-nucleotide ribosomal RNA is filed under the name uncultured bacterium. RNAcentral's name for it is "partial 16S ribosomal RNA". It matches the Rfam family "Bacterial small subunit ribosomal RNA", at positions 28 to 507 of the family's 1533-position model. The record is from RNAcentral.
GACGAACGCUGGCGGCGUGCUUAACACAUGCAAGUCGAACGGAAAGGCGCUGCUUUUGUGGCGUUGUCGAGUGGCGAACGGGGGAGUAACACGUGAGUAACCUGCCCUUGACUUUGGGGUAUCAUCAGGAAACUGGGGCUAAUACCGGAUAGGAGCUCCUGCUGCGUGUUGGUGGUUGGAAAGUGUCGGCGGUGGGGGAUGGUCUCGCGGGUUACGAGCUGGAUGGUGAGGUAGUUGCGUACCAAGGCUUUGACGGAUAGCCGGCAUGAGAGGGUUGACGGGCACAAGGGGACUGAGAUAGGGACCAGACGCGUACGGGAGGCAGUAGUGGGGAGUAUUGCACAAUGGGCGGAAGUCAGAGGUGGCAGCGCCGCGUGCGGGAUGACGGGCUACGGGUUGUAAACCGAUUUCGCAUGUGACGAAGCGUUAGUGACGGUAAUGGGUAAAAAAGCAACGGCUAACUACGUG